GAAAGGGUUGCAAUAAACUGGUGGCUGCGACUGUUUAAUAAAAACACAGCACUCUGCAAACACGAAAGUGGACGUAUAGGGUGUGACGCCUGCCCGGUGCUGGAAGAUUAAAUGAUGGGGUGCAAGCUCUUGAUUGAAGUCCCAGUAAACGGCGGCCGUAACUAUAACGGUCCUAAGGUAGCGAAAUUCCUUGUCGGGUAAGUUCCGACCUGCACGAAUGGCGUAACGAUGGCCACACUGUCUCCUCCCGAGACUCAGCGAAGUUGAAAUGUUUGUGAUGAUGCAAUCUACCCGCGGCUAGACGGAAAGACCCCAUGAACCUUUACUGUAGCUUUGCAUUGGACUUUGAACCAAUCUGUGUAGGAUAGGUGGGAGGCUUUGAAGCGGGGACGCUAGUUCUCGUGGAGCCAACCUUGAAAUACCACCCUGGUUUGUUUGAGGUUCUAACCUUGGUCCGUUAUCCGGAUCGGGGACAGUGCAUGGUAGGCAGUUUGACUGGGGCGGUCUCCUCCUAAAGUGUAACGGAGGAGUUCGAAGGUACGCUAGAUACGGUCGGACAUCGUGUUGAUAGUGCAAUGGCAUAAGCGUGCUUAACUGCGAGACUGACAAGUCGAGCAGGUACGAAAGUAGGACAUAGUGAUCCGGUGGUUCUGUAUGGAAGGGCCAUCGCUCAACGGAUAAAAGGUACUCUGGGGAUAACAGGCUGAUUCCUCCCAAGAGUUCAUAUCGACGGGGGAGUUUGGCACCUCGAUGUCGGCUCAUCACAUCCUGGGGCUGUAGCCGGUCCCAAGGGUAUGGCUGUUCGCCAUUUAAAGUGGUACGUGAGCUGGGUUUAAAACGUCGUGAGACAGUUUGGUCCCUAUCUGCCGUGGGCGUUGGAAAUUUGAAGGGGGCUGCUCCUAGUACGAGAGGACCGGAGUGGACGAACCUCUGGUGUACCGGUUGUCACGCCAGUGGCAUUGCCGGGUAGCUAAGUUCGGAAGAGAUAACCGCUGAAAGCAUCUAAGCGGGAAACUUGCCUUGAGAUGAGAUUUCCCAGAGCCUUGAGCUCUUUGAAGGGUCGUUCGAGACCAGGACGUUGAUAGGCUGGGUGUGGAAGUGCAGUAAUGCAUUAAGCUAACCAGUACUAAUUGCCCGUACGGCUUGUCCCUAUAACCUUAGCAGGU
Molecule: ribosomal RNA, 1166 nt
Filed under: Janthinobacterium sp. BJB426
Lineage: Bacteria; Pseudomonadati; Pseudomonadota; Betaproteobacteria; Burkholderiales; Oxalobacteraceae
Description: bacterial LSU rRNA
Rfam family: Bacterial large subunit ribosomal RNA
Source: RNAcentral